UUUCUUUGUUCGUUAAAGGAUUGUGAAGGUUUCAGGCGGAGAGAUUUCUUCUUCUUACAUCUUCAAGCGGCGUCGUUUAGUGUUGUUCUGUGGUUAAUUUUUCGAGGAUUUAGGGUUAGGGUUUGUGGAUUUGGGAGUUGUUUGAGUGAAACCCUAGAUGUUAUGAAGCAUCGAGUAGCCGUAUCGUUGGGGUUGAGUUGAUCGACGGUCGAGAUCUCGUCACCGGAUGGAGGGAGGUAG
RNAcentral lists this unclassified non-coding RNA (240 nucleotides) under Hevea brasiliensis (rubber tree). Lineage: Eukaryota; Viridiplantae; Streptophyta; Magnoliopsida; Malpighiales; Euphorbiaceae. The record is from RNAcentral.